This 253-nucleotide ribosomal RNA is filed under the name uncultured bacterium. RNAcentral's name for it is "partial 16S ribosomal RNA". It matches the Rfam family "Bacterial small subunit ribosomal RNA", at positions 524 to 776 of the family's 1533-position model. The record is from RNAcentral.
UACGGGGGGGGCAAGCGUUGUUCGGAAUUACUGGGCGUAAAGGGCUCGUAGGUGGCCAACUAAGUCAGACGUGAAAUCCCCAGGCUUAACCUGGGAACUGCGUCUGAUACUGGAUGGCUUGAAUCCGGGAGAGGGAUGCGGAAUUCCAGGUGUAGCGGUGAAAUGCGCAGAUAUCAGGAGGAACACCCGUGGCGAAGGCGGUUCUCUGGGACGGUACUGACGCUGAGACGCGAAAGCGUGGGGAGCGAACAGG